CCUACGGGCGGCAGCAGUGAGGAAUAUUGGUCAAUGGACGCAAGUCUGAACCAGCCAUGCCGCGUGCAGGAAGACGGCUCUAUGAGUUGUACACUGCUUUUGUACGAGGGUAAACGCAGAUACGCGUAUCUGUCUGAAAGUAUCGUACGAAUAAGGAUCGGCUAACUCCGUGCCAGCAGCCGCGGUAAUACGGAGGAUUCAAGCGUUAUCCGGAUUUCUUGGGUUUAAAGGGUGCGUAGGCGGUCGGAUAAGUUAGAGGUGAAAUCCCGAGGCUCAACUUCGGAAUUGCCUCUGAUACUGUUCGGCUAGAGAGUAGUUGCGGUAGGCGGAAUGUAUGGUGUAGCGGUGAAAUGCUUAGAGAUCAUACAGAACACCGAUUGCGAAGGCAGCUUACCAAGCUACUUCUGACGUUGAGGCACGAAAGCGUGGGGAGCAAACAGGAUUAGAUACCCGGGUAGUC
RNAcentral lists this ribosomal RNA (460 nucleotides) under uncultured bacterium. RNAcentral's name for it is "partial 16S ribosomal RNA". It matches the Rfam family "Bacterial small subunit ribosomal RNA", at positions 338 to 795 of the family's 1533-position model. The record is from RNAcentral.